This 497-nucleotide ribosomal RNA is filed under the name uncultured bacterium. RNAcentral's name for it is "partial 16S ribosomal RNA". It matches the Rfam family "Bacterial small subunit ribosomal RNA", at positions 28 to 507 of the family's 1533-position model. The record is from RNAcentral.
GAUGAACGCUGGUGGCGUGCCUAAUACAUGCAAGUCGAGCGAACGGACGAGAAGCUUGCUUCUCUGAUGUUAGCGGCGGACGGGUGAGUAACACGUGGAUAACCUACCUAUAAGACUGGGAUAACUUCGGGAAACCGGAGCUAAUACCGGAUAAUAUUUUGAACCGCAUGGUUCAAAAGUGAAAGACGGUCUUGCUGUCACUUAUAGAUGGAUCCGCGCUGCAUUAGCUAGUUGGUAAGGUAACGGCUUACCAAGGCAUCGAUGCAUAGCCGACCUGAGAGGGUGAUCGGCCACACUGGAACUGAGACACGGUCCAGACUCCUACGGGAGGCAGCAGUAGGGAAUCUUCCGCAAUGGGCGAAAGCCUGACGGAGCAACGCCGCGUGAGUGAUGAAGGUCUUCGGAUCGUAAAACUCUGUUAUUAGGGAAGAACAUAUGUGUAAGUAACUGUGCACAUCUUGACGGUACCUAAUCAGAAAGCCACGGCUAACUACGUG